RNAcentral lists this ribosomal RNA (351 nucleotides) under Perichaena agaves. Its description in RNAcentral is "SSU rRNA". It matches the Rfam family "Bacterial small subunit ribosomal RNA", at positions 558 to 930 of the family's 1533-position model. Lineage: Eukaryota; Evosea; Eumycetozoa; Trichiida; Trichiidae. The record is from RNAcentral.
GCGUAGGGUAUGUAGGUUGUGAAAAAAUGAGAAAGUAAAAUACUAGGUUAUCGCCUUUGAUUGUUUUCUUACUAUUUCAUUGAAUCUUAGAAAGAUGAUGGUACUUUUUGGUUAGUGUUAGAAUACGUAGAUAGAAAGGAACCGACAGUGGCAAAAGAAUUAUCUUUCCAAGCAUUGACGUAAGGUACAAAGGCAGGGGAGCAAAGAGGAUUAGAGACCCUCGUAGUCCGUGUGUCAACGCUGAGUUUUCAAUGUAGGAUUAUCUUGGUGUUUGAGUAACGCAUUAAAUUCUCCGCUGGGAAGUACGGCCGCAGGUUGAAACUCAAAAGAAUUGAGGUGACUUGUACAAGG